Molecule: ribosomal RNA, 497 nt
Filed under: uncultured bacterium
Lineage: Bacteria
Description: partial 16S ribosomal RNA
Rfam family: Bacterial small subunit ribosomal RNA
Source: RNAcentral
GACGAACGCUGGCGGCGUGCCUAAUACAUGCAAGUUGAGCGCUGAAGGUUGGUACUUGUACCAACUGGAUGAGCAGCGAACGGGUGAGUAACGCGUGGGGAAUCUGCCUUUGAGCGGGGGACAACAUUUGGAAACGAAUGCUAAUACCGCAUAAAAACUUUAAACACAAGUUUUAGGUUUGAAAGAUGCAAUUGCAUCACUCAAAGAUGAUCCCGCGUUGUAUUAGCUAGUUGGUGAGGUAAAGGCUCACCAAGGCGAUGAUACAUAGCCGACCUGAGAGGGUGAUCGGCCACAUUGGGACUGAGACACGGCCCAAACUCCUACGGGAGGCAGCAGUAGGGAAUCUUCGGCAAUGGACGAAAGUCUGACCGAGCAACGCCGCGUGAGUGAAGAAGGUUUUCGGAUCGUAAAACUCUGUUGGUAGAGAAGAACGUUGGUGAGAGUGGAAAGCUCAUCAAGUGACGGUAACUACCCAGAAAGGGACGGCUAACUACGUG